Long non-coding RNA from Camelus dromedarius (Arabian camel), 449 nucleotides. RefSeq lists it as uncharacterized. Lineage: Eukaryota; Metazoa; Chordata; Mammalia; Artiodactyla; Camelidae. The record is from RefSeq and is a predicted model, not a curated record. The transcript has 3 exons.
GUUUGUCCAUUCCCUGCUUCAGAUUUACUCACUCUCUGAAGAAUGAUCAAACAUCAAAGCCUGGCUCCCCACGCCUCAGACGGCCCUGAUACCCUCCGGGGGAGGUCCAAAGAGGGACGUCUAGAAAAUAGGUGAGUGGAGCUGAACGUGAGCUGGGCACAGACGUUUGGAGAAAGCAGGGGAGCCCAGGGCUUGUCGUCAAGAGCUGGUCCACCGGGCUCCCCCCACUACUCACUUUGGAACUUUGGGCGGAUUGCUUCUGAGCCUGAAACCAUCUUCCCUCUGCUGACACGAGCCCAAGGGGCCUGCUGGCUGCUGGCGCAUGGGCCACCUGCCGUCCCACCACGUGGCACCUUCAAUGGUGAUGAAGAAAAUGUUGAUUCCUGACUCUCUCGCAAACCUCGAAGCCUCCUCCACCUUGUCCGUGGGCCAGCCGUCCACCAUCACCA